RNAcentral lists this transfer RNA (72 nucleotides) under Lachnellula arida. It matches the Rfam family "tRNA". From Rfam's summary of the family: Transfer RNA (tRNA) molecules are approximately 80 nucleotides in length. The record is from Rfam by way of RNAcentral. Lineage: Eukaryota; Fungi; Ascomycota; Leotiomycetes; Helotiales; Lachnaceae.
GGGUUAGUAUCCUAAUGGUAAGGAACUUUCUUGUCAUGAAAGUUUAUGUCGGUUCGAGUCCGAUCUGACCCG